CAGGAAGCAUAGCUGAUGAACUCAUGGAAGAAAUAAAGAAGGAAGUUGAAGAAUAAUGCUGCUCCAAAGUAUUCAUAUAUGGUUCCAACUUUGUAAAAAUGGGGCAUGCUUGUUUUAUGUUAUACAAGAGAAACCUGAGAAUAUGGUAUUAUUUGUUUGUAUA
This is a long non-coding RNA of Zea mays, 163 nucleotides long. RefSeq lists it as uncharacterized. The record is from RefSeq and is a predicted model, not a curated record. NCBI's taxonomy places the organism in Eukaryota, Viridiplantae, Streptophyta, Magnoliopsida, Poales, Poaceae. The transcript has 2 exons.